CCUACGGGGGACAGCAGUGAGGAAUAUUGGUCAAUGGGCGCGAGCCUGAACCAGCCAAGUCGCGUGAGGGAUGACGGUCCUACGGAUUGUAAACCUCUUUUGCCGGGGAGCAAGCGUGCGUUCGUGAACGCGCGUCGAGAGUACCCGGAGAAAAAGCAUCGGCUAACUCCGUGCCAGCAGCCGCGGUAAUACGGAGGAUGCGAGCGUUAUCCGGAUUUAUUGGGUUUAAAGGGUGCGUAGGCGGAUUUUUAAGUCAGCGGUAAAAUGUCCGGGCUCAACCCGGGCCGGCCGUUGAAACUGGGGAUCUUGAGUGGGCGAGAAGUAUGCGGAAUGCGUGGUGUAGCGGUGAAAUGCAUAGAUAUCUGGAGGAACAUCAGUGGCGAAGGCGACUAUCUGGCACAUAACUGACGCUGAGGAGCGAAAGCGUGGGUAGCAAACAGGAUUAGAUACCCGGGUAGUC
This 460-nucleotide ribosomal RNA is filed under the name uncultured bacterium. RNAcentral's name for it is "partial 16S ribosomal RNA". It matches the Rfam family "Bacterial small subunit ribosomal RNA", at positions 338 to 795 of the family's 1533-position model. The record is from RNAcentral.